GACGAACGCUGGCGGCGUGCUUAACACAUGCAAGUCGAACGGGCCCGCUCUCUUUUUUGGGGGUGGGUUGAGUGGCGAACGGGUGAGUAUCACGUGAGUAACCUGCCCCCUGCUCCUGGAUAACUGCUUGAAAGGGCGGCUAAUACGGGGUGUGCCGGCUGGUCCGCAUGGGCCUGGUCGGGAUAGUUUCAUCUUCGGGUGUUUCGGUGGGGGAUGGGCUCGCGGCCUAUCAGCUUGUUGGUGGGGUGAUGGCCCACCAAGGCGGUGACGGGUAGCCGGCCUGAGAGGGUGGGCGGCCACACUGGGACUGAGACACGGCCCAGACUCCUGCGGGAGGCAGCAGUGGGGGGUAUUGCACAAUGGGCGGAAGCCUGAGGCAGCGACGUCGCGUGAGGGAUGGAGGCCUUCGGGUGGUGAACCUCUUUCUCCGGUGGUGAAGGCCCUGUCUGUUGCGGCGGGGUUGACGGUAGCCGGGUAUGAAGCGCCGGCUAACUACGUG
This 499-nucleotide ribosomal RNA is filed under the name uncultured bacterium. RNAcentral describes it as "partial 16S ribosomal RNA". It matches the Rfam family "Bacterial small subunit ribosomal RNA", at positions 28 to 507 of the family's 1533-position model. The record is from RNAcentral.